Molecule: ribosomal RNA, 468 nt
Filed under: uncultured bacterium
Lineage: Bacteria
Description: partial 16S ribosomal RNA
Rfam family: Bacterial small subunit ribosomal RNA
Source: RNAcentral
GACGAACGCUGGCGGCGUGCUUAACACAUGCAAGUCGAACGGAAAGACCCUGCUUUUGUGGGGUGCUCGAGUGGCGAACGGGUGAGUAACACGUGAGUAACCUGCCCUUGACUUUGGGAUAACUUCAGGAAACUGGGGCUAUUACCGGAUAGGAGCUCCUGCUGCAUGGUGGGGGUUGGAAAGUUUCGGCGGUUGGGGAUGGACUCGCGGCUUAUCAGCUUGUUGGUGGGGUAGUGGCUUACCAAGGCUUUGACGGGUAGCCGGCCUGAGAGGGUGACCGGCCACAUUGGGACUGAGAUACGGCCCAGACUCCUACGGGAGGCAGCAGUGGGGAAUAUUGCACAAUGGGCGGAAGCCUGAUGCAGCAACGCCGCGUGCGGGAUGACGGCCUUCGGGUUGUAAACCGCUUUCGCCUGUGACGAAGCGUGAGUGACGGUAAUGGGUAAAGAAGCACCGGCUAACUACGUG